Bufo gargarizans (Asiatic toad) is the source of this 505-nucleotide long non-coding RNA. RefSeq lists it as uncharacterized. The transcript has 3 exons. The record is from RefSeq and is a predicted model, not a curated record. Lineage: Eukaryota; Metazoa; Chordata; Amphibia; Anura; Bufonidae.
UUCAGGACACAUAGAGAAUCACAUUGUCAUUCUUAGACGGUUUUCAGAGCCUUCGCUGACUACUGAGGUCUUAUUGUUCUUCAGUGUCUGUGUUUGUUGAUACCGGGAGCUGUCCUCUUACGUAUAGGAGACACAAUUAUUGACUCGCUACCGCUAUGUGGACCAAAUAGCAGAAUUCGAGAAGGAAAUUGUGUGGAAUUCUGUGGAUGCCCAUUUAAGUUCUGCUUUGGAUCUGAACCAGUUUCUGGCUGCUUUUGUGAUGAAGGAUAUGUUCUAAGCCCUUCUCAACUGAAUAUUCAAACCCUUAUCUUCAGCCGCUCAUCUUUCUUCCCUAAUUGUGUUCUACGUGAUGACUGCCCAAAUGCUGUUGGGGGGAAUAUGUUCACUGGAUGCAAAAUAUUUUGUGAUAUAGUCUCAAAUCCUGUAUUAGAUGCAUAAUAUAUCAUUGUCAAUACAGGCGAUAUAUGUCGCUUUUAAGAAAAUAAAAAAUGAAGCAUGUAAGAAA